This 425-nucleotide ribosomal RNA is filed under the name uncultured bacterium. Its description in RNAcentral is "partial 16S ribosomal RNA". It matches the Rfam family "Bacterial small subunit ribosomal RNA", at positions 28 to 526 of the family's 1533-position model. The record is from RNAcentral.
GACGAACGCUGGCGGCGUGCUUAACACAUGCAAGUCGAGCGGAGCGGCGCACGGGUGAGUAACGCGUGAGUAACUGCCCCCCCCUCUGGGAUAACAGUUGGAAACGGCUGCUAAUACCGGAUAGUGGGGGAUGACUCGCGUCCUAUCAGCUUGUUGGUGGGGUAGUGGCCUACCAAGGCGACGACGGGUAGCCGGCCUGAGAGGGCGACCGGCCACAUUGGGCUGAGAUACGGCCCACACUCCUACGGGAGGCAGCAGUGGGGAAUAUUGCACAAUGGGGGAAACACUGAUGCAGCAGCGCCGCGUGAGUGAAGAAGGUUUUCGGAUCGUAAAACUCUGUUGUUAGGCAUUAGUAACUGAACGUCCCCUGACGUUAUCUGACCAGGAAGCAACGGCUAACUCCGUGCCAGCAGCCGCGGUAAUUC